UAGGGCGGGACACGUGGUAUCCUGUCUGAAUAUGGGGGGACCAUCCUCCAAGGCUAAAUACUCCUGACUGACCGAUAGUGAACCAGUACCGUGAGGGAAAGGCGAAAAGAACCCCGGCGAGGGGAGUGAAAAAGAACCUGAAACCGUGUACGUACAAGCAGUGGGAGCACCCUUUGGGGUGUGACUGCGUACCUUUUGUAUAAUGGGUCAGCGACUUAUAUUCUGUAGCAAGGUUAACCGAAUAGGGGAGCCGGAGGGAAACCGAGUCUUAAUUGGGCGUUAAGUUGCAGGGUAUAGACCCGAAACCCGGUGAUCUAGCCAUGGGCAGGUUGAAGGUUGGGUAACACUAACUGGAGGACCGAACCGACUAAUGUUGAAAAAUUAGCGGAUGACCUGUGGCUGGGGGUGAAAGGCCAAUCAAACCGGGAGAUAGCUGGUUCUCCCCGAAAGCUAUUUAGGUAGCGCCUCGUGAAUUCAUCUCCGGGGGUAGAGCACUGUUUCGGCUAGGGGGCCAUCCCGGCUUACCAACCCGAUGCAAACUGCGAAUACCGGAGAAUGUUAUCACGGGAGACACACGGCGGGUGCUAACGUCCGUCGUGAAGAGGGAAACAACCCAGACCGCCAGCUAAGGUCCCAAAGUCAUGGUUAAGUGGGAAACGAUGUGGGAAGGCCCAGACAGCCAGGAUGUUGGCUUAGAAGCAGCCAUCAUUUAAAGAAAGCGUAAUAGCUCACUGGUCGAGUCGGCCUGCGCGGAAGAUGUAACGGGGCUAAACCAUGCACCGAAGCUGCGGCAGCGACACUCAGGUGUUGUUGGGUAGGGGAGCGUUCUGUAAGCCUGCGAAGGUGGCCUGUGAGGGUUGCUGGAGGUAUCAGAAGUGCGAAUGCUGACAUAAGUAACGAUAAAGCGGGUGAAAAGCCCGCUCGCCGGAAGACCAAGGGUUCCUGUCCAACGUUAAUCGGGGCAGGGUGAGUCGACCCCUAAGGCGAGGCCGAAAGGCGUAGUCGAUGGGAAACGGGUUAAUAUUCCCGUACUUGGUGUUACUGCGAAGGGGGGACGGAGAAGGCUAUGUUGGCCGGGCGACGGUUGUCCCGGUUUAAGCGUGUAGGUGUGUGUUCCAGGUAAAUCCGGUUCACUUUAACACUGAGGCGUGACGACGAGGCACUACGGUGCUGAAGCAACAAAUGCCCUGCUUCCAGGAAAAGCCUCUAAGCAUCAGGUAACAUCAAAUCGUACCCCAAACCGACACAGGUGGUCAGGUAGAGAAUACCAAGGCGCUUGAGAGAACUCGGGUGAAGGAACUAGGCAAAAUGGUGCCGUAACUUCGGGAGAAGGCACGCUGACACGUAGGUGAAGUGAUUUACUCAUGGAGCUGAAGUCAGUCGAAGAUACCAGCUGGCUGCAACUGUUUAUUAAAAACACAGCACUGUGCAAACACGAAAGUGGACGUAUACGGUGUGACGCCUGCCCGGUGCCGGAAGGUUAAUUGAUGGGGU
This 1494-nucleotide ribosomal RNA is filed under the name Salmonella enterica subsp. enterica serovar Agona. RNAcentral describes it as "partial 23S ribosomal RNA". It matches the Rfam family "Bacterial large subunit ribosomal RNA", at positions 413 to 1890 of the family's 2925-position model. The record is from RNAcentral. Lineage: Bacteria; Pseudomonadati; Pseudomonadota; Gammaproteobacteria; Enterobacterales; Enterobacteriaceae.